UACGUAGGGGGCAAGCGUUAUCCGGAAUUACUGGGCGUAAAGCGCACGCAGGCGGUUCGCCAAGUUUGGAGUGACAGUUGUCGGCUCAACCGAUAAAGGACUUCAAAAACUGGUGAACUUGAGGACGAGAGAGGAACAUGGAACUCCAGGUGUAGUAGUGAAAUGCGUAGAUAUCUGGAAGAACACCAAUGGCGAAGGCAAUGUUCUGGCUCGUUUCUGACGCUCAGGUGCGAAAGCCAGGGGAGCGAACGGG
This 253-nucleotide ribosomal RNA is filed under the name uncultured bacterium. RNAcentral's name for it is "partial 16S ribosomal RNA". It matches the Rfam family "Bacterial small subunit ribosomal RNA", at positions 524 to 776 of the family's 1533-position model. The record is from RNAcentral.